AGGGAAUCUUCCACAAUGGACGAAAGUCUGAUGGAGCAACGCCGCGUGAGUGAUGAAGGUUUUCGGAUCGUAAAACUCUGUUGUAAGGGAAGAACCAGUACGUCAGGCAAUGGACGUACCUUGACGGUACCUUAUUAGAAAGCCACGGCUAACUACGUGCCAGCAGCCGCGGUAAUACGUAGGUGGCAAGCGUUGUCCGGAAUUAUUGGGCGUAAAGCGCGCGCAGGUGGUUUCUUAAGUCUGAUGUGAAAGCCCACGGCUUAACCGUGGAGGGGCAUAGGAGGUGGGGGGGAUAGGGUGAAGGAGAGGGAAGGAGAAUGGAGAGGGAAGCGGUGAAAUGCGCAGAGAGUGGGGGGAACGCGAGAGGCGAGGGCGACUAAAUGGUCUGAAACUGACGCGUAGGCGCGAUGGGAUGGGGCGCAAACA
This 426-nucleotide ribosomal RNA is filed under the name uncultured Caryophanaceae bacterium. RNAcentral describes it as "bacterial SSU rRNA". It matches the Rfam family "Bacterial small subunit ribosomal RNA", at positions 356 to 774 of the family's 1533-position model. Lineage: Bacteria; Bacillati; Bacillota; Bacilli; Caryophanales; Caryophanaceae. The record is from RNAcentral.